Oncorhynchus keta (chum salmon) is the source of this 4967-nucleotide RNA transcript. RefSeq lists it as uncharacterized. The transcript has 5 exons. Lineage: Eukaryota; Metazoa; Chordata; Actinopteri; Salmoniformes; Salmonidae. The record is from RefSeq and is a predicted model, not a curated record.
UCUAUACGAUCUCUUUCUUUCUCAUGCGCUUUAUUUAGGGUUAUAUUCCACCGAAGUUGCAUUACUUUUCAACGUUUUGUGCAAUAAUUGUGUAGUAGUAGACCACCAAUACAUUGGUUCAUAAACCAAAUAUUUUGCGUUUUUUAUAGAGGUUACCAAGUUAACAAGCUUUCCUCUUUUCGGGAAAUGAAACCGAAAGUUCCUAGAUAUGAUCUGCUGAAACGGAAUUGGUUAGAUCGGCAUAUAUUGCUGGCAUAAUCUGACAGGAAGUUCCUAUAACAAGUUUCAGCACUAAUUUCUGAUUUUAAAUUAGUUAUUUAAUUCUGAAGAUGUCACAUUUGAAUUACAAGGAGCGUUAUGGUUGCCGACGGCUGUUAGAGAUGAUGACAAAGGAUGACAUAUCCUCACUUCGAUUUACUAUCACUAACAAAAAGAAGGAUCUUUUCGACAGCACAUCAGAAUCAAUUGAUGCCAUCCUUUCAAACACAGAGAAUACAGAGGCAUUCCUGAAACGCAGGAAAGUUCAACGUGACUUCAUAUUCAAAUACCUGACGGAGGACGAGGGGGUUGUGAUACCCAAAAACAGCAACAAAGACCAGCUAGUGAAGAAGGCCCUUGACGUCUGGACUAUUGAGAAGGUGAGUCCACAAGCGUAUGAAGAUGUCUCCUUCAGUGCUUUAACAAGAGCAGCAGGUUCUCAGAUAGGAAUGAGGUUUCCAACAGCACAAGUCUCCCCUCAACCUGUCUACUCUAAGCCGCACUACACAUCCCAGAUGUUGGACCUUCAAAGCCCAGCAGCUGAGACCAAUCCAGGACCAGCUGUGACUAUUGUGAGACAAAUUGAGACUAGUUUGAGACCAAUUGGUCUGAGAACAAGUGAGAGUGUCUCUGUUUCCUCUGAGGCGACAUACAGUGCUGGCUUUGACCACCUGGCCUUGGCCAGACAGUUUUGUCAGUGGUUCUUCCAGCUUCUCAACAGUCUGAACCCCUCCCUGGGUCAGCCUCCUCAGGAGUGGGGACCACAACACUUCUGGGAGGAUGUGAGGCUACGUCUUCUCUCCAGCGCCGGAGAGCAGUAUACAGAAGAGUACGAAGGAGCAGCAAUGAUCAGCCUGCGUCUCCUGGCCCUGGCGAGGGACGAGAGGCUGCUAUUGAGCCCCAACUUGGAGCCUGGUGGUCUGAAGGCCCUGUCCUCCCCCCACGGCCUGGUGCUGGUGGCUGUGGCAGGGACCAUCCACAGAGACAGAGAAUGUGUCGGCAUUUAUGAGCAGGCGUUUGGCCUCAUACGCUCCCCACUGGACCAGAACAAAUGGAAGAUCAAGUUCAUGGUCUUGAAGGUGAGGGGCCAGGAGGCUCUCAGGGUGGGAGAGCACCUGCUGUCUCCAAUAUUAACAUGGGAUUCCAACGACCUGCAGCUCCUCUGUAGAUGAUGGGGGACCUGGUGUGAUCGUCAGCAGGGUUCUUCAACCGAGGGUCCGCAGAUUGACAAAGUCCCAACAUUCCACAAGGGGGCAGGCAUGCUACAUCAAGGAGAAUUUAUAUUUUGAUCCUCAGCCAAAUCGAAUGCUUUUAAAGCGAUUACGUGGGGAAAGUAAUCAAUUCCUAAGCACAGCCUGGGCUACUUUAUGUACGCUGGCAGUGUCUUGUAGCCUAGGUCGUGAACAAAACAGUAAAUUUGAGAGUUUACCGUGAAUUGUCUGCCAUUAAAUUAAUAUGGUUGUAAACUAUUGCCUUUCAAAGGUAUGAAAACACAUAUUUGGAAACACAUAUUUGACUAGUUAUUGAAGUGCCAGUGAAGUGGAUUUAUGUUGUAGAACUAUAAUCAAUCAAUAGACAAUAAUAUUUCUCUUCAACGUUGAGUAACAAAUCACAUUAAGAGGUAAAUUCAAUCAAAGUUUUUUCAAUGUGAUUGCUGUCUCCGAAGUGCUACUCAUUCAGAGCAUUCCCAACAUAUACAAGCUUUGACAAACUAUUGUUGAGAAGACUUGUAUAAAAAAUAUAACAAACUUGUAUAGGAAAAAUGGGGGUUAGGGUGAUGGUUGACAUAUCAUGUCACCUUCUCUCUUCCUUUCUUCCCUUUAUGUUAGCUAAAUAAAUGCAUCGAUUUACACCUGGCAUACUUUUCCUGUUUCCGGGUAAAUCGAUGUGGACUAGAUAGGCAGAUAUCAGAGUUUCUAACAGUGCUCUGUGCUUCGGCCCGGUGUAGAUUUACACUCACAUGAUUAGCUCACAUAAACACUGGAAACCUUAGGACACGAGGGAAUGCACAGGAUCCCAGGAAACAAACAGGCGAAUAGUGAGAGGAUCCCGUUGCUGUGACGGUUUAGUUUAGCAUCAAUUAACCCAAACAACAACCAGAACACUUUCUACAGGAAAAUAACUGUAUUUAUAAAAGGGGAAAAUACAUGGAGAAAUGCACCUAAAUACAUUAAGCUAACAUGGAGGUUUCAAUCAGAAGAGGUUCAAAUAAACCAGGAAACAAUCACUGCUUUCCAUCAUCCUAUACAGUGGUUGAAUUGGGGUGGGUGGGGCUGGUGCGUUGAACCAGGAACUCAGAUUUUCUACUGCUUGAAUGCCAGCUCAAAAAUGGUUAAUCCACAAUACAUAUCAGGGAGUAUGAGUGUACAAUUUUAUUUUUCAAACACACAGCCCUAUAGAACAUACAGCCCCAUCCCACCAUUUCCUCCAUACUGCAGUGUUCCUCUCUGAUAGCCAGGCCUUCACCACGUAGAACAGGGCCCUGACGGUUCUCUCAGCUUGGCUCUAAAUAGAGAUGAUCACGUUAUCAGAGCGUUGCCAGGAGGUUGUCAGCUUGCGUUGGGCCUGCUGGCCAUCCUGAACAGAGCGGCCGGUUGGCGGAUGUGUGUUGGUGCCAGCCUCCCAGCACCCGUCCUCCAGGACAUCUGCCUGCCCACGCUGCAUCUUAAUCCCCAUCUCUCUCAGCCUCUCCCUCCAGCCCUCAGCCCACUGCUCGCCGGUUUGUAUUAAUUGCCCUUGCCUCGCUCGCUGUUUGCUUCUGAUUACACUCAUUAAUUUCAAUUCCCAGGGAACCCAGCCGCCGAUUUACACAAACACACACAAACACACACACACACUAUGACAUCAGUGCCUGGACAUUUGGAUGCUAUUAAUUGUUAUUAAUAGCAGCAAUGUUCACUCCCCGCCUCUCGCUGUCUGAAAGUAGACUGCCAGUGUGAAGGGUGAAGAUGGGUACUGACCAUAUGACCUUAUGUUCCUAUGCCCAUAGCCCAGCCUCCAGAUACCCAGGAGGUGGCUCAGAUCUAGACCCAUGCUUAAUCUUGAGAAUUAUUCAAUAUCCUGUAUAACUACUGCUGUACACACAUUUCUACUCACACACUGUCAAUACUUCCUUAAGAAAAUAAGGUGCUAUCUAGAACCUAAAGGGGUUCUUCAUCUGCCCUCAUAGGUGAACCCUUUAAAGAACCCGUUUUAGUUCCAGGUAGAACCCCUUUGAGUUCCAUGUAGAACCCUUUCCACAGAGGCUUCUACAUGGAACCCAAAAUAAUUCUACCUGUAACCAAAAAUGUAACCAAAAAUGAUUUUACCUGGAAUCAAAAAGGGUUAUCCUAUUGGGACACCUGAAGAGCCCUUUUGGAACCCUUUUUGAAGAGUGUACUGUCUAUAGACACCAUUCACAUACACAUAUAUUUCGAUUCCGGACUCUGGUCCGGAAGCUCAUUUCCUGCAAUUCUGUCAAUUUUCCCAUGGGCUUUGUACUGCAUAUUUGAAUACUGUAUUCUUGACAGCUGUCUAAUAUUUUUGCUACUGUACAUUGUAUUUUAGUUACACUGUUUAUACACCACUUAUUGAUAGGUAUACUGGAUUUUUGACAUAGCUCACUCUUAUAAACUCAGCAAAAAAAGCUGGACCCUGUCUUUCAAAGAUAAUUCAUAAAAAUUCCAAACAACUACCCAGAUCUUCAUUGUAAAGGGUUUAAACACGCUUGUUCAAUGAACCAUAAACAAUUAAUGAACACGCACCUUUGGAACGGUCGUUAAGACACUAACAGCUUUCAGAUGGUAGGCAAUUAAGGUCACAGUUAUGAAAACUUAGGACACUAAAGAGGCCUUUCUACUGACUCUGAAAAACACCAAAAGAAAGAUGCCCAUCUGCAUGAAAGUGCCUCAGGCAUGCUGCAAGGAGGCAUGAGGACUGCACGUGGCCAGGGCAAACAAAUGCCCAAAAAAUACCCAGUACUAGCAAAAAGUGCUCUUCACUGACGAGUUGCAGUUUUGUCUCACCAGGGGUGAUGUUCGGAUUUGCGUUUAUCGUCGAAGGAAUGAGCAUUACACCAAGGACUGUACUCUGGAGCGGGAUCGAUUUGGAGGUGGAGGGUCCGUCAUGGUCUGGGGCGGUGUGUCACAGCAUCAUUGGACUGAGCUUGUUGUCAUUGCAGGCAAUCUCAAUGCUGUGCGUUACAGGGAAGACAUCCUCCUCCCUCAUGUGCUACCCUUCCUGCAGGCUCAUCCUGACAUGACCCUCCAGCAUGACAAUGCCACCAGCCAUACUGCUCAUUCUGUGCGUGAUCUACUGCAAGACAGGAAUGUCAGUGUUCUGCCAUGGCCAGUGAAGAGCCCGGAUCUCAAUCCCAUUGAGCACGUCUGGGACCUGUUGGAUCGGAGGGUGAGGGCUAGGGCCAUUCCCCCCAGAAAUGUCUGGGACCUUGCAGGUGCCUUGGUGGAAGAGUGGAGUAACAUCUCACAGCAAGAACUGGCAAAUCUGGUGCAGUCCAUGAGAUGCACUGCAGUACUUAAUGCAGCUGGUGGCCACACCAGAUACUGACUGUUACUUUUUGACCCCCCUUUGUUCAAGGACACAUUAUUCCAUUCUGUUAGACGCAUGUCUGUGGAACUUGUUUAGUUUAUGUCUCAGUUGUUGAAUCUUGUUAUGUUCAUACAAAUAUAUAAAAUCAACACUGUUGACAGUGAGAGGACGUUUAUUUUUUU